GUUUGCAUUUGUCGGGGAAGGGUGAGAACCUUCGAUUAAGGUUCGACUCGAGCGAAAGCGAGAGAACGUUGCCAACGGCAACGGCCCGAAGGGUGAGGAGCGAAGCGACGAAUAAUCCUUCCCCCACCACCA
This 132-nucleotide small RNA is filed under the name Citrobacter freundii. Its description in RNAcentral is "RtT sRNA". It matches the Rfam family "RtT RNA". Rfam says of the family: This family represents a bacterial cis-regulatory element known as RtT RNA. The exact function of RtT is unknown although it is thought that it may be involved in changing the cellular response in relation to amino acid starvation. The record is from RNAcentral. RNAcentral also lists the same sequence under 4 other names. Lineage: Bacteria; Pseudomonadati; Pseudomonadota; Gammaproteobacteria; Enterobacterales; Enterobacteriaceae.